RNAcentral lists this ribosomal RNA (484 nucleotides) under uncultured bacterium. RNAcentral describes it as "partial 16S ribosomal RNA". It matches the Rfam family "Bacterial small subunit ribosomal RNA", at positions 30 to 507 of the family's 1533-position model. The record is from RNAcentral.
AUUGAACGCUGGCGGCAUGCUUUACACAUGCAAGUCGAACGGUAACAGGGAGCUUGCUCCGCUGACGAGUGGCGAACGGGUGAGUAAUAUAUCGGAACGUACCCAAGAGUGGGGGAUAACGUAGCGAAAGUUACGCUAAUACCGCAUACGAUCUAAGGAUGAAAGCAGGGGACCUUCGGGCCUUGUGCUCCUGGAGCGGCCGAUAUCUGAUUAGCUAGUUGGUGAGGUAAAGGCUCACCAAGGCGACGAUCAGUAGCUGGUCUGAGAGGACGACCAGCCACACUGGAACUGAGACACGGUCCAGACUCCUACGGGAGGCAGCAGUGGGGAAUUUUGGACAAUGGGCGCAAGCCUGAUCCAGCAAUGCCGCGUGAGUGAAGAAGGCCUUCGGGUUGUAAAGCUCUUUUGUCAGGGAAGAAACGGGAUUGGCUAAUAUCCAGUCCUAAUGACGGUACCUGAAGAAUAAGCACCGGCUAACUACGUG